Salmo salar (Atlantic salmon) is the source of this 53-nucleotide non-coding RNA. NCBI's taxonomy places the organism in Eukaryota, Metazoa, Chordata, Actinopteri, Salmoniformes, Salmonidae. The record is from Rfam.
UGUACUCACUACUGUAAGUCGCUUUGGAUAAAAGCGUCUGCUACAUGCAUAUU